This 485-nucleotide ribosomal RNA is filed under the name uncultured bacterium. RNAcentral's name for it is "bacterial SSU rRNA". It matches the Rfam family "Bacterial small subunit ribosomal RNA", at positions 15 to 518 of the family's 1533-position model. The record is from RNAcentral.
GAUCUUGGUCAGGACGAACGCUGGCGGCGUGCCUAACACAUGCAAGUCGAGCGAGGAGAUUCCUCGGGAUGAUCCUAGCGGCGGACGGGUGAGUAACACGUGGGCAACCUGCCUCAUAGAGAGGAAUAGCCUUCCGAAAGGGAGAUUAAUACCUCAUAACAUUGCAGUUUCGCAUGGAACAGCAAUUAAAGGAGUAAUCCGCUAUGAGAUGGGCCCGCGGCGCAUUAGCUAGUUGGUGAGGUAACGGCUCACCAAGGCGACGAUGCGUAGCCGACCUGAGAGGGUGAUCGGCCACAUUGGGACUGAGACACGGCCCAGACUCCUACGGGAGGCAGCAGUGGGGAAUAUUGCACAAUGGGGGAAACCCUGAUGCCAGCAACGCCGCGUGAGUGAUGACGGCCUUCGGGUUGUAAAGCUCUGUCUUCAGGGACGAUAAUGACGGUACCUGAGGAGGAAGCCACGGCUAACCACGUGCCAGCCGCCGC